This is a non-coding RNA of Pelobates cultripes (western spadefoot toad), 316 nucleotides long. The record is from the annotation of a GenBank genome assembly. NCBI's taxonomy places the organism in Eukaryota, Metazoa, Chordata, Amphibia, Anura, Pelobatidae.
AAUAGAACGUGCACACAGAGCCCUGCGCCCCGUGUCCGCUGAGGGACCGCCUAGAGACGUAAUCUGCUACCUGCUCUCCUACUCGUUAAAGGACGAAAUCAUGAGGGAAGCAAGAAAUCAACAGAACCUCACCUACAUGGACGCCCAGAUUUCCCUAUAUCAAGAUCUCUCAGUACUCACCCUGGAAGCGAGAAGGGCACUGAGACCGCUAACCACCCUGCUUAGAGAACGGCGGAUACAAUACAAAUGGGGAUUCCCCUUUAGCUUACAGGCAAAAGUGAGCAACAUAUGGCAUAUCAUACGCUGGCCAGCUGAC